AAAUUUUGCCUUCUCAGAAGCAUCUCCAUCCUCCAAACCAUUUGUACCACCUUGAUUAAAAUUUGUUGGUUUGAAGGAAGUAACUCCAUUAGUCCUGACUCCGUCUUUACAGUCAUUUGAAUAGUUAUCAAGCUUGGUUUUGUUAUCAGCGUUGUUGGACGAAUGAACAGCAGAGCCUAAACAAACGGCAACCAAGAAGCAUGCAACUCCAGAAAACAGAAUUUCAGCUUUGUUAAUUUUGUCGUCAAGGUAAUAAUUCAAGGUUGUUCCUAUAACA
Molecule: unclassified non-coding RNA, 277 nt
Filed under: Hevea brasiliensis (rubber tree)
Lineage: Eukaryota; Viridiplantae; Streptophyta; Magnoliopsida; Malpighiales; Euphorbiaceae
Source: RNAcentral